RNAcentral lists this ribosomal RNA (447 nucleotides) under uncultured bacterium. RNAcentral describes it as "partial 16S ribosomal RNA". It matches the Rfam family "Bacterial small subunit ribosomal RNA", at positions 29 to 523 of the family's 1533-position model. The record is from RNAcentral.
AACGAACGCUGGCGGCAGGCCUAACACAUGCAAGUCGAACGCCCCGCAAGGGGAGUGGCAGACGGGUGAGUAACGCGUGGGAACCUUCCCAGUGGUACGGAACAACUGACCGAAAGGUUGGCUAAUACCGUAUACGCCCGAAAGGGGAAAGAUUUAUCGCCAUUGGAUGGGCCCGCGUCGGAUUAGCUAGUUGGUGAGGUAAUGGCUCACCAAGGCGACGAUCCGUAGCUGGUCUGAGAGGAUGAUCAGCCACACUGGGACUGAGACACGGCCCAGACUCCUACGGGAGGCAGCAGUGGGGAAUAUUGGACAAUGGGCGCAAGCCUGACCCAGCCAUGCCGCGUGAGUGAUGAAGGUCUUCGGAUUGUAAAACUCUUUCGCCGGGGAAGAUAAUGACGGUACCCGGAGAAGAAGCUCCGGCUAACUUCGUGCCAGCCGCCGCGGUAA